Ziziphus jujuba (common jujube) is the source of this 622-nucleotide long non-coding RNA. RefSeq lists it as uncharacterized. The record is from RefSeq and is a predicted model, not a curated record. Lineage: Eukaryota; Viridiplantae; Streptophyta; Magnoliopsida; Rosales; Rhamnaceae. The transcript is spliced from 3 exons.
UAACGUUUGUGUUAGUCCCCCCAGAUAUAGGGUAUUAUUUAUCCGAAUAAAAUAUUAAUUUAUUUGAGAUGUGUAAUAUUGUUGUUCUAGGAGCACGUGUACGUCGUGGAAUUGAUCCAAUGGAGGAUCUUGAAUUAAUUGCGUGCUCGAGACGCAAUCAUACAGUACUGGUGUUCUGUAUUGUAUAUAUGGAUGAGCGAGCAAGUUAUAAUGUUUCCCGUGAGUUGCCAUCGGACCGAGGGCAGACAAGUUUGAUAUUGGCCAUAAGCCGCCUCCCUCCAUGACCCGGAUGACGGUUUAAACAGCGGCGCUGUCGAGACGCCGAAGCGACCGUAUACAAGUUUCUCUCUUUAACCUCCCGUUACACGGUGCUCGGGACGCUGGGUAUCGUGGGACAUCACUGGUAUAUAGUGUGGUACAAGGAUUGGGAGACGUUGAUCGUUCGGGACGAGCCCGACAACUCAGUUCAUUGCCGAAAGUUCAAAAAGCAUUUCCUCCCUUUUUCCUUUUCAUCUUGUAUUACUUCUUUAUCUAACAUUGUAUUAAUUUCAUAUUUAUUUGUAUAAUGCUCUGUAUACUGUAUUAGACACAUUUUAUUAAAUAUUGCAUUAAUUUCCUAUUA